Molecule: unclassified non-coding RNA, 235 nt
Filed under: Hevea brasiliensis (rubber tree)
Lineage: Eukaryota; Viridiplantae; Streptophyta; Magnoliopsida; Malpighiales; Euphorbiaceae
Source: RNAcentral
ACAGCAGCAAAACACCCAUUAAAAUAUUGCAAAAUUAGAAUUCAAGCUCAAGAGCUAGUGCUUAAACCACAGUUUUCUCACCUUGAUCACCAACGUUAUGCAUUGUUGAAUUACUAGAACCAUUUUGGGAUGAACUAAUUAGCCUGCUGCAGGCCGAGUGGUUUUUCGGCGAAGCCGCCAACCGAAGUUUUUCUGGCCCCUCGAUGGGACAAGUGUUCCUUGAUUAUACAAGGUG